Molecule: non-coding RNA, 23 nt
Filed under: Mus musculus (house mouse)
Lineage: Eukaryota; Metazoa; Chordata; Mammalia; Rodentia; Muridae
Source: RNAcentral
AACAUGCUAGAGGCCAAGAGCUC